This 441-nucleotide ribosomal RNA is filed under the name uncultured bacterium. RNAcentral's name for it is "bacterial SSU rRNA". It matches the Rfam family "Bacterial small subunit ribosomal RNA", at positions 339 to 797 of the family's 1533-position model. The record is from RNAcentral.
AUACGGGAGGCAGCAGUGGGGAAUAUUGCACAAUGGAGGAAACUCUGAUGCAGCAACGCCGCGUGGAGGAUGACGCAUUUCGGUGUGUAAACUCCUUUUAUAAGGGAAGAUAAUGACGGUACCUUAUGAAUAAGCACCGGCUAACUCCGUGCCAGCAGCCGCGGUAAUACGGAGGGUGCAAGCGUUACUCGGAAUCACUGGGCGUAAAGGAUGCGUAGGCUGGAAAUCAAGUCGAGAGUGAAAUCCAACGGCUCAACCGUUGAACUGCUCUCGAAACUGAUUACCUAGAAUAUGGGAGAGGUAGAUGGAAUUGGUGGUGUAGGGGUAAAAUCCGUAGAUAUCACCAGGAAUACCGAUUGCGAAGGCGAUCUACUGGAACAUUAUUGACGCUGAGGCAUGAAAGCGUGGGGAGCAAACAGGAUUAGAUACCCCGGUAGUCCU